This 160-nucleotide small nuclear RNA is filed under the name Ipomoea nil (Japanese morning glory). Its description in RNAcentral is "U1 spliceosomal RNA". It matches the Rfam family "U1 spliceosomal RNA". Rfam says of the family: U1 is a small nuclear RNA (snRNA) component of the spliceosome (involved in pre-mRNA splicing). Its 5' end forms complementary base pairs with the 5' splice junction, thus defining the 5' donor site of an intron. The record is from Rfam by way of RNAcentral. Lineage: Eukaryota; Viridiplantae; Streptophyta; Magnoliopsida; Solanales; Convolvulaceae.
AUACUUACCUGGACGGGGUCAAUGGGCGAUCAUCAAGGCCUAUGGCCUAGAUUGAUGACUUCCAUUGCACUUUGGAAGGGUGUCAAUCUAAGGUCUACCUUAAUGGUGGAGCCUACGUCAUAAUUUGUGGCAGAGGGGCCUGCGUUCGCGCGGCCCCUAC